AAUGCAUUGAUUAAUGCACGAAAAGCUAUCGAUAAAUCUUUUGCUGGUGAAGCAGAGGAUGUUCCCAUAUUAUCAACUAGUGUAGCCUAUGGAGUUUAUAUGGCAGUUUCUAGCAAUCUAAGGUACCAAGUUCUCGCUGGAGUAAUCGAACAACGAAUUCUAGAACCCUUGCUACACAAACACAAGAUUAUACUGAGUGCAAUUUGCUUUGUUGUUCGAACAGGCAACACAUUCUUGGGGUCCUUGAUGUGGGUUGAUUAUGCACGGUGGGUUGGAAUUCAAAAGAUACGAGAUUAGAGCAUAGGGUAGAUUACAUGAUUAUUGUAAGUAAUUUUAUUUUUGUGUGGAUAUUGAUUUUGUUUAUGGAAUUACAGUGCGGUAACCUUCCGAUAAAAAUGCAAGAGAUGGGCAUUUAGAAAA
Molecule: non-coding RNA, 420 nt
Organism: Prunus avium (sweet cherry)
Lineage: Eukaryota; Viridiplantae; Streptophyta; Magnoliopsida; Rosales; Rosaceae
Source: RefSeq, a predicted model, not a curated record